AAAAGAGAUAAAUUAGCGAUCUUCGUUGAAAACAACGAACGACUCCUAGAUCUUCUUCCAAUCUAAUUUGUAAACCAUUUAUAAGUCGUUCUUAACUCAACAUUUGGGUAACAGGGGUUGCACUGUCAUGUUACAACUAGUGCAAAGAGUAGAAUACAUUAACUCCCAAUUCAUAGGUUAUUAUGAUAUUUAUAUAUGGUGGAAACCCUUUCUUGAUAUAGCUAUAGUCCAAAUAAUGCAAUUAUAUUCUAACAGGGUGAUAGGAGAAAGGUGUGAAGAUGUUAGUGUGAAGAU
Molecule: long non-coding RNA, 294 nt
Filed under: Carica papaya (papaya)
Lineage: Eukaryota; Viridiplantae; Streptophyta; Magnoliopsida; Brassicales; Caricaceae
Description: long non-coding RNA (CPAP_LNC011512)
Source: RNAcentral